Long non-coding RNA from Apis cerana (Asiatic honeybee), 1482 nucleotides. RefSeq lists it as uncharacterized. The record is from RefSeq and is a predicted model, not a curated record. Lineage: Eukaryota; Metazoa; Arthropoda; Insecta; Hymenoptera; Apidae.
GCCGUCACGUUUAAUUAUUUUCGAAUAGAUAUUCUGUGAAUUUAUAUUUUGUAAAUUAUAUUCUUAUGUACACACACAUAUAUUAAUAAUAUAUUUAAAAAUACAAUGUGGAAUAUAAAUUAUAAAAAUAUAAAUAAAUUUAAUGCAUAAUUUCAAAAGAUUGUUAUGAAUAAUACGAAAUAAUACGUAACCUUAAUGAUAACCUAUAUGAAAGUUGAAAAUUUGAUAGUAAAAAAAAAUAAAAAAAGAAAAUCAAUGGUUUGAAAUAAUAAAUAUUUCAAUAAAUGCUUACAAGAUUUAAUUGUCUAUGUUACUAAUUAAGAAUAAUAUUAUUUAACUAUAUUACGUGGAAAUCGAGAAUAUGUAAAUGUUCGACAAUGUGGAAUUUAUAAUAGUCUAAUCUCCUGGUUUGUGUCGCAAAAACAAAUGUGCAACAGUGAUGCAGUAUUUAAAGAACCUGGCAAACAAAGAAAAUUCAUCAACCGAAGCAUAUGUAAACUUAUUACAGAUAUAAUUGCUCAAUUUUUUUCUGUAGAAGAUAAAGUCGAAAUAAAGAUCCAAGAAUCCACUGCAUUGUGUUUUCUUGUGAAAGAGGUGAAGAAAAUUUUAACUCUAGUGUUCUUAAAUGUCGUGAAAAAAUUCAUCCAAUAUGCCUGUCACUGCACACUGUCAGAAUACACAGGCAGCCUUAAAAUGUUAUGCAGAAGCAUGACUUUACAGCUAUUCUAUUCUAUCAUUUUUAAAUGUAAGUAAUGAAACGGAACAAGAAAUUUGAUUGGAUUAGAUAUAGGAAUACUUUUGGUCCUUCAGUAAAACAUAUAUCUGAAAAUAUAAUGGCAAUAAAAUACUAAGCUUGGAUUAAAUGUCCAUCAGGUUAAAAUAUUCAUUUUUCUUUUUUCAUUAGAAAAUUAAAACAAACAGAAUCAAACAUUGUUAUUUUUGUUAUUCUUCUAUGAUUAUAAUCUUUAUAAUUUAAUAUUUAAUUACAAACAUAUUUGCGUACAUUUUUAUGCUUUUUAUGUUUCAUUUGUGCAUUUUCCAAAUAAGAUACAAGAAGAAGAAUUUAGUUGUGAAUAUUAAUUUAGAUGAAAAUGAUUUAAGUAUAUCAAAAGAACAUUAAUAUCAAUGUAUCAUGUAACAAGAUGAACGAGAUAAAAUAGUAAGUAUUGGUAAGAAGAUUGAUAUGAAAUAUAUGAUAAAAAAAAUGCUUUCCAAUAAAGACUCUCCAAUAUUUUUAAUUAAUUUUAUAGUUAUUAUUGAAUUAGUUAAAUUAAUUAUUUGACUUUAUCAAUGAACUUUAUCAAUUUGAUUAUCAGCAAAUUUAAUUUCAGGACAUUUAAUUUUAACAUUAUUAGGUAUUUUUAUUAGAAAUUUUAUUGCAAUAAUUCCAAUUAAUUUAUUAAUUCAAAAUACAUUAUUAACUUUAGAAAUUUUUAUAUCAAUUAUUCAAUGAUAUGUAUUUUCAAUUUUCUUAAUUUUAUA